CGGUGAGCUGCNGGGGGAUUUUUG
Molecule: ribosomal RNA, 24 nt
Filed under: Gongora sp. SRR-2011
Lineage: Eukaryota; Viridiplantae; Streptophyta; Magnoliopsida; Asparagales; Orchidaceae
Description: partial 18S ribosomal RNA
Source: RNAcentral